CCUACGGGUGGCAGCAGUGAGGCAUAUUGGUCAAUGGCCGGAAGGCUGAACCAGCCAAGCCGCGUGAAGGACGACGGUGCCAAGCAUUGUACACUUCUUUUGUCAAGGGACAAAAUCAGGCCCGAGUGCCUGACCGAGGGUACCUGAAGCAAAAGCAUCGGCUAACUCCGUGCCAGCAGCCGCCGUAAUACGGAGGAUGCGCGCGUUCUCCGGAUUUAUUGGGGUUAAAGGGUGCGUAGGCGGGGUGUUAAGUCAGCGGGAACAGCCCGGGGCACAACCCCGGCGAGCCGUUGAAACUGGAUGUCUGGAGAUGUCGAGAGGUAUGCGGAAUGCGCGGUGGAGCGGUGAAAUGCUUAGAUAUUGCGCAGAACUACGAUUGCGAAGGCAGCAUGCCGGCGGCUAUCUGACGCUGAGGCACGAAAGCGUGGGUAUCGAACAGGAUUAGAUACCCGGGUAGUC
RNAcentral lists this ribosomal RNA (459 nucleotides) under uncultured bacterium. Its description in RNAcentral is "partial 16S ribosomal RNA". It matches the Rfam family "Bacterial small subunit ribosomal RNA", at positions 338 to 795 of the family's 1533-position model. The record is from RNAcentral.